CAGGUUUCAAGAUGUUUCAUAUGUGAUUGAAGUGGAUAACUGUCUAACUGUGUUUCUCAAUAGUGUCAAGGUCUUUCAGUUUGCAGGUGAAACUCUGGUUCAUUCCAUUCUGGUUUCCUCACCAAAACAAGUUGGAGCAGUCAAAGAAUCUGACCCACUGUCCACAUCGGAUAUGUCAAUCGAUGCGACUGAGACCGAAGAGUCAUUACCAGACCUUGACUCCAUGGAUGACAUGAGUGAGACAGAAGAACUUCACAGCAGAAAACUUGAGGGACAACCUGGCACAGCCGAAGGCAGAGAACCUGAGAGACAACCUGGAGCAUCAGUUGAUGGAGAAAUGGACAGAGAAGUGAGCAUAGUACUUGGUGGACAACUUGAAGAGA
This is a long non-coding RNA of Eurytemora carolleeae, 383 nucleotides long. RefSeq lists it as uncharacterized. The record is from RefSeq and is a predicted model, not a curated record. The transcript has 4 exons. NCBI's taxonomy places the organism in Eukaryota, Metazoa, Arthropoda, Copepoda, Calanoida, Temoridae.